UUUGUUCUGUUUUGUUUUACUGCUAGGAGCACAAUAAAGUAGAGAACAUGCACUUCAACUUUGAUGCCUUAAGACAGAACUUUGUUAGCAUUAGAGAAUUUAAUGGUGCAUAGUUGUUUGGGUAACAUAUUCAUUUUCAAUUUCUUAUGAUAAUUAUAGAUAGGGUUGAGUUAGGUAAUGAAUCUGGCUUUCUUCAUAUUCUUCUACUUGUGCUGCAGAACAUAUCUGCUCAGCUUCAGUUUCCAAGCCCAAUGACAAUGACCUUCAGCACCUCACAUGAAAAGAAAGUGAGACUGCUUCACUUGAAACUGUUGAAUUAGUCAACGAAGAUGUAAACCAUUUUGGAUAUAGACACAAUGGGAGUUGAUCUGUUUCCCACUUUCUGAAUGUUGACUUUGAUCCUCUCUACCACGAUAUUAGAUGACUGUGGGACAACCUAUGGAAGCGUAUGAAGACUGCAUUUCUAAUUUAAUGGAGGCCCAAACACGCAAGCGCACCUCUUCUUUAAAGAGAAUCUUCCCCUUGAAAACUUUUCAAAGGAGGUGUUCAUGUUUUGAAAGUGUUCAGAUGGUUUCCAGGUGAGGAAUUUCAUCUAACCACAACUUGUAAAUUCUAUUGUAAUGGGGCUUUGGGACUGAAAUAGCAGAUUGUUGUUGGUAAUUGUAUAUGAUGCCUUAGAUUUUAAAAUACAGAAAUCCUGUUUUAGGCAUUCACCUUUGUUAGUUCCCAGAUGGUUUGCUUGACCUCAAAGGGAUUUAUAGCAGCAUCGUGGUUAUUUUCAUUGUCCAAAUCUUUUCCUGACUGUUUCUCCAACAUGAGAGCAGCUUGGGUUCAUUGCACAGUGACAAUAACUCUUAGAUAUUCAUAUUUUGUACCAAGCUUUUAUCUUGCCUGUCCACCUGCAGACAUGAACUGACAAUUUCUCUAUAGUGGCCACCUCUUACAAAGUAUGUAUACAGUUAUUUUCUUUUAUAUGCAUACAUGAA
Long non-coding RNA from Prunus dulcis (almond), 986 nucleotides. RefSeq lists it as uncharacterized. NCBI's taxonomy places the organism in Eukaryota, Viridiplantae, Streptophyta, Magnoliopsida, Rosales, Rosaceae. The transcript has 3 exons. The record is from RefSeq and is a predicted model, not a curated record.